ACGCAUCGUACACUCCGCUCACACUGCACACCACACGCUCGCGACCAUGGCUUCAGCGAAUGCACUGCGUGAACUGGCGGUGGCGUUGGCGUGUGUCCUCGUGGUGCUGCUGCCGGCGCAGGUGGCGGGGAUGUACAUGUUGCACCAGGAGUACCCCAUGUACCCCAUGUACAUGUACCCGGCCUACCAGCACGGAAUGAGAGUGCUCGUCCCGUCGUGGCAGGAUCUCAACGAGUGGUACAUGUGAGCGCCGCGCCGCCAAGAACUGCACACGUGGGCUGGGCUUCCUUAGUUCUGAAUCACAGUGUGCAGCUUUCUCCGUGCCACACUGUAGGCUAUCCUGUUGGUGCGUGGUGAGCAAUCAUUAUUUGACGAUGUAAGAAUACCUGUACGACUAUUAGAUGGAUAAAAUAUAACGUACCCAAGGUUAAAUAA
Molecule: long non-coding RNA, 435 nt
Organism: Bacillus rossius redtenbacheri
Lineage: Eukaryota; Metazoa; Arthropoda; Insecta; Phasmatodea; Bacillidae
Exons: 2
Source: RefSeq, a predicted model, not a curated record